Molecule: ribosomal RNA, 340 nt
Filed under: uncultured bacterium
Lineage: Bacteria
Description: partial 16S ribosomal RNA
Rfam family: Bacterial small subunit ribosomal RNA
Source: RNAcentral
CCUACGGGGGGCUGCAGUGAGGAAUAUUGGUCAAUGGGCGCGAGCCUGAACCAGCCAAGUAGCGUGAAGGAUGACUGCCCUACGGGUUGUAAACUUCUUUUAUAAGGGAAUAAAGUGAGGCACGUGUGCCUUUUUGUAUGUACUUUAUGAAUACGGAUCGGCUAACUCCGUGCCAGCAGCCGCGGAAAUACGGAGGAUCCGUGCGUUAUCCGGAUUUAGUGGGUUAAGGGGGAGCGUAGAGGUGUUGUAAAGUCGGUUGUGAAAGUUUGCGGCUAAACCGUAAAAUUGCAAUUGAGACGGGCAGUCUGGAGUACGGUUGGGGUAGGCGAAAUCCGUGGUG